Molecule: unclassified non-coding RNA, 394 nt
Filed under: soil metagenome
Description: partial contains 5.8S ribosomal RNA, internal transcribed spacer 2, and large subunit ribosomal RNA
Rfam family: 5.8S ribosomal RNA (bases 2-121)
Source: RNAcentral
GUGAAGAACGCAGCGAAAUGCCAUACUUGGUGUGAAUUGCAGAAUCCCGUGAACCAUCGAGUCUUUGAACGCAAGUUGCGCCCGAAGCCAUCAGGUUGAGGGCACGUCUGCCUGGGCGUCACAUAUCGUUGCCCAAUGCCUAUUGCAGUGCAAUAGGAAUUUCUAGGGCGAAUGAUGGCUUCCCGUGAGCGUUGUUGCCUCGCGGUUGGUUGAAAAUCGAGUCCUUGGUAGGGUGUGCCAUGGUAGAUGGUGGUCGAGUUAGAACGAUACCGAUCAUGUGCAUGCUCCCCAAAAUAUGGCCUCUAUGACCCACACGCGUCUUUUGACGCUCAUGACGAGACCUCAGGUCAGGCGGGGCUACCCGCUGAAUUUAAGCAUAUCAAUAAGCGGAGGA